GCAGAACUUUUAAAUAAAAAGCCAGAAACUAUAGUGCAUUGGGGCCUUGGGUGCUUGCAUCUCUUAAGCUCAGCAGACAAGAGUUUGAAAAUUAUACUCAGUGGAGCAAACUGUAAGUCAUUGAAAACUUCCUUCUCAUUUAGGAAUGAAAAUUCCAGAACCUUUUCCACUACCUGCUCCAGGUCCAGUUCCUGUUCCAGGUCCCAAAAGCCAUCCUUCUGCAUCCUUGGGCAAAAUGCUGCUUCCACAGUUUGGGAUGGUCAUUUUAAUCAGUGUUUCUGCUAUAAAUCUCUUUGUUGCUCUGUAGUUCCCUGCAUUGUUUAUCUUUCUUGUUCUUUACUUGAAAUAACUAUAGGGAUCCCACAGGAGAUCAGAAGGAAUGACGUAUUUUUCACUUGUUGGCCAAAGUCACUGAUAAAAUGAGAAUUGUAUAUUUGUUAUUCAUUUUGCAAAUUCAGAAAGUUGGUCCAGAUAUAUGUUACAGAACUUUUCACUUCUAUACUAACUGAAAAAAAUCCCGAAAACUGUAUACUUCCGAUUGAAUUCAAUAAAAGAUUUUUAGAUAUUUCAGAAUUGCCAGUAU
RNAcentral lists this long non-coding RNA (583 nucleotides) under Rhinopithecus roxellana (golden snub-nosed monkey). RNAcentral's name for it is "lncRNA (ENSRROG00000045832.1)". Lineage: Eukaryota; Metazoa; Chordata; Mammalia; Primates; Cercopithecidae. The record is from RNAcentral.